AGGACGAACGCUGGCGGCGUGCUUAACACAUGCAAGUCGAGCGAGGCUCCUCCUUCGGGAGGAUGUCCUAGCGGCGAACGGGUGAGUAACACGUGGGCAACCUGCCCUCAGCUCUGGGAUAAACUCCGGGAAACCGGGGCUAAUACCGGAUACGACCUCCACGGGCAUCUGUGGAGGUGGAAAGUUUUUCGGCUGAGGAUGGGCCCGCGGCCUAUCAGCUAGUUGGUGGGGUGAUAGCCCACCAAGGCGACGACGGGUAGCCGGCCUGAGAGGGCGACCGGCCACGACUGGGACUGAGACACGGCCCAGACUCCUACGGGAGGCAGCAGUGGGAAUAUUGCGCAAUGGGCGAAAGCCUGACGCAGCGACGCCGCGUGAGGGACGAAGGCCUUCGGGUUGUAAACCGUCUUUCAGCAGGGACGAAGCGAGAGUGACGGUACCUGCAGAAGAAGCACCGGCCAACUACGUGCCAGCAGCCGC
Molecule: ribosomal RNA, 480 nt
Filed under: uncultured bacterium
Lineage: Bacteria
Description: SSU rRNA
Rfam family: Bacterial small subunit ribosomal RNA
Source: RNAcentral